RNAcentral lists this ribosomal RNA (468 nucleotides) under uncultured bacterium. RNAcentral's name for it is "partial 16S ribosomal RNA". It matches the Rfam family "Bacterial small subunit ribosomal RNA", at positions 28 to 507 of the family's 1533-position model. The record is from RNAcentral.
GACGAACGCUGGCGGCGUGCUUAACACAUGCAAGUCGAACGGAGAGGACCUGCUUUUGCGCGGUGCUGGAGAGGCGAACACGGGUGAAUAACGUGAGUAAACUGCCCCUGACAUUGGGGUAAAUUCAGGGGAAAGGGGCGAAAAUCCGACAUGAGCACCUGAAGCAUGGGGGGGAUGGGAAAGAGACGGAGGUUGGGCAUGGACUCGCGGCUCAUCAGCUUGUUGGUGGGGUGGUGGCGUAACAGGGCACUGACGGGUAGCCGGCCUGGGAGGGUGACCGGCCACAAUGGGCCUGAGAUGCGGCCCGGACUCCUACGUGAGGCAGCAGUGGGAAAUAGUGCACGAUGGGCGGAGGCCGGAUGCAGCGACGUCGCGUGGUGAAUGACGGCCUUCGGGUUGUAAACCGCGUGCGCCUGUGACGAAGAGUGAGUGACGGUAACUGGUCAGGAAGCACCGGCUAACUACGUG